This 497-nucleotide ribosomal RNA is filed under the name uncultured bacterium. Its description in RNAcentral is "partial 16S ribosomal RNA". It matches the Rfam family "Bacterial small subunit ribosomal RNA", at positions 28 to 507 of the family's 1533-position model. The record is from RNAcentral.
GAUGAACGCUGGCGGCGUGCCUAAUACAUGCAAGUCGAGCGAACGGACGAGAAGCUUGCUUCUCUGAUGUUAGCGGCGGACGGGUGAGUAACACGUGGAUAACCUACCUAUAAGACUGGGAUAACUUCGGGAAACCGGAGCUAAUACCGGAUAAUAUUUUGAACCGCAUGGUUCAAAAGUGAAAGACGGUCUUGCUGUCACUUAUAGAUGGAUCCGCGCUGCAUUAGCUAGUUGGUAAGGUAACGGCUUACCAAGGCAACGAUGCAUAGCCGACCUGAGAGGCUGAUCGGCGACACUGGAGCUGAGACACGGUCCAGACUCCUACGGGAGGCAGCAGUAGGGAAUCUUCCGCAGUGGGCGAAAGCCUGACGGAGCGACGCCGCGUGAGUGAUGAAGGUCUUCGGAUCGUAAAACUCUGUUAUUAGGGAAGAACAUAUGUGUAAGUAACUGUGCACAUCUUGACGGUACCUAAUCAGAAAGCCACGGCUAACUACGUG